Molecule: long non-coding RNA, 965 nt
Organism: Lycium ferocissimum
Lineage: Eukaryota; Viridiplantae; Streptophyta; Magnoliopsida; Solanales; Solanaceae
Exons: 3
Source: RefSeq, a predicted model, not a curated record
CCGUGCAAAGCAACUAAAAGGGUUUCACAGUCAGUCAAAUCAUUCUAUAGAGGCGCCAUUUUGUCUUAGGGCAAGGUGUCAGUGGAUUUGAAGAAGCAGAUGUUUGUAGAGUUCAGGACAAAGUGUUCUUGGAAGUCGGUACAAGAGACAUUAGUAGCGCAGAAUUUCGAGAAAAAGGUGGGGGCUAGACUUAAGCAUGCGUUACGUAGAGCCCGUGAAAAAGUCCUAAAGCCUAAGUGGAUCCGUGAUGAUAACUGAAAGAAACUGCUGCACUUCUCGGCGACUGAUCCGGUGUUUUUGAAGCAAAGUGAAAAUGGGAAGAAGGCCAGGGCCUCAGCUAAGGGUGGAUUUCGACACACUAGUGGGGCCACCAGCCAUGAGUACAUUAGGAUGAAGCUGACGCUCGACAGGGGUCAGGAAGUACCUCAAGAUGAAGUCUUCAAGAUUACUUACACGAGGAAGACGAAGAACGCUGAUGCUACAGAGCAAUGGAUUGAGCCAAGGGUUCAGCAAACCUAUGUAAGUCACUACCUAACAAUAAUAACUACUUUUGUUUUUAACCUAAAUUUAGCUACUAACAUUGUAUCCUUCAACUUCAAACCGAGUUUCAACAACACUUUGGGGAAGAUUGUGCCAGUCAGCCAGCCGGGACGUCGAUGACCAUAGAGAUAAUUGAUCAGCAGUGGAUGGAGAAGGUUGCUCCCCCGACAAGGUAUGGGACAGUUUAUGGGAUGCCUCAUCGAGCCUGUCGUCAAUUCCCGUCGUUCCUUCAAGGCGUAGGUGCUACUUUUGAGAGGGAGUGGAGCCUAAGGAGUAACAAGAAAUGAAGCAAAAAGUUACUCAACUAACAACCACACUUAGUGCCAUGGAGGAAAGGAUGUUGGGUAUGCAGGCCCAAGCAGACAGCUUACUCAAUUCGGGGGCGUUUCCGAUUCCCCCGUGUCCCGGGGAUGCUCGUAGGUCAC